CCUAGUCAUCGGGGUUAUGGGAAAAUAUCUGUUGAUCGUGCAAUUAUCUGUUACGAGAUUUAAUUGAUCUAUUUGUAUACGAUUAUGUUUGUGCGUGCAUUUAUUCCUGCUUUUGAUAUUAUGAUACAGUUUAUUAAAAUAUAUUAUCCUCUUAAAUGGAUAUUUAUUUUUGUAAAAAUACAAAGAUAAUUUCAAAAAUUAUUUUAAUUGCUCGAUAGUGAUCACAAAUAUUUUUAGGAGUUUGUAAAAUUUUAAAAAUCUUAUUUCUAUAAGGACAUGAUUUUUAAUUAGUUUCUGAAUGCAGCUAACUUCUAAAUUUUGUAAAAAUUUUGAAAAUGCUCUGUAAAUUAUGAGUAUUUUAUUUUAUUAGUUUUAUAAUAUUUUGGGAUUUAUAACAAUAUUUCGGUAAUUUUUGGGAGAAGUUUUACUAAUAAGUUAUCUCCGUAAAUCAGUUAAAUACGGAUAGAGGGUAAAAACAUUAGUUAGCUUAUAUUAGGUGGAAGCUUCGGUUAUUGCCACCGAUCAAUACUCUUUUGUUUUUCUUCAGCCACGUAAUACACCUCCUGCAGUCACCUCCUUUUCCCCAAUUUCAAAACCUUCCCUCUGUUAAUCUCUCGACCUCACCGCCUCUUCCCCCCUCACUUCUUCCCUCUCCGCCGCUACAUCCUUACACGCCCUCUCAAUCUCUUCAUCCACAUAAUCACUUAUCCUACGUCUCUCUUCUCUCAGCAGCAGCGCCGCUCUCCUCCGUUUCUCCUUCUACUCGAAGCCGUGCUCCUUCCCCUGGGGCUCUCUCUUAAUUGAUUUCACUUCCUAAUUAGAAGUUCAUCGUGUUCCAUAUUCGUUCGAAUUUAGAAUUGAAGACAUUGACCGAGGCAUUAAUCGAGAAGUGAUUGAAAGGGGUAUUCAGAAAUAGCCAAGCAGAAUGUUACAAGUUGAAGUAGGACGGAGAUUUGUUAUAGAUAAAAGUGUGUCAGAAGCUGGCAGAAAGGAAUGAUUAUGCGGUAUAUAGUGUUACUAGGAAUCUGAGCUAAACUUUGGAGUUAAGGCAAGAAUAAAGAUGAUUCACUUAAGACUAGGCAAGGAUUGCAAGUGGUUGAGUUUCGAGCAGAUGGACAGGUAGAGUAUUUAGGACGAUGUCAUUAAGACUAGAUGCAGUUGGAGUUCUGCAAUUCAAUUCAGUUGGAAAUUAGAUUUGUUUAUUUGGUUAUCAGCUACUCUUCUUAUCGAGGUUUAGCUGAUAAUGUUGUUUAAUUUGUAAAUAAGAUUUUAUAGUUUUAGUUUCUGAUUUCAAUGCUGUAGCCUGUAUGCGAUCCUGUUUUCAGGGGGUGAAAUUGAUUUUGAAUUAAAGACCUUCUUUUAAAAAAAAAAAAUAUCCAGGUUUAGAAAUACUUGUUUUUACUUUCUUCCAAAAAUACAGGUUUUAAAUUGUUUUUCUUUUAAUGGCUCAAAACUACAGGUUUUAAAUUAUUUUUAUUUACACGUGGCACCAGAUCUAGACCCCCGGAUUUGAGGGAUGUCACAGUUGGUAUCAGAGCUGCAGGUUAUAAGUUAUUGAAAUCAGAAUAUAGGUGGUAAUGCCAGGUUUAAUAAAGAGAUGCGCUAAGUAUAAACUCACGUAGAGGUAGUCUACAACUCUUUGGAAGAGUCUGUGUCAAUAGAACCAAGAUUCCAAUACAGUAUUGAUUUUGGGUAUAACAUAGUGUGUAUAAUAGUUCUCUUAGUUCUCUUGACCCAGAACUAGUAAGUUUAUAUAUCAGGGAAGGAAGAACAUGCCCCACUAGAUCUAGUCUAUUGAGUAGUUAGUACCAAUAUCAGCAAACAAAUAGAUUCACCUGUUGAGACUAGAAUGUCAAUAAUUAUUUCAUAGUCCUCGUCACCAAGACAGAGAUAAAUUAGAAGGGUGACUUUAUGUGUGUAUAUUAUGGAUCAAAUUUCUUAACACUAGUUUAAUUGAGUUAGAAACUCAUAGUAGGUGGAUAAGAUUUCCUUCAGUAUUCAUCAGCUUGUUAGUUGAUUUAGAGUCCAAAUCACUUAAAGGAUAGACCUAUUAGGUAAGCUUUAUAAUGGGAGCCAAUUGGGGUUGGAUCAGUAGAGGUUCCCACAUAGUCUAGAGUACCCUUUGUUGUGUCUGCCAAGUUUUUGAGAACUAUUUGGAGAGUCACCUUCUGAUUCUUCUCAGUGAUAUAUAGAAUUGGUGAAAGAAUAUAGGUAUUACCAGGUCCGAAUUUAAAGCUUUGUAUAUAGUGAAGUAGUGAGCAUUAGAGCUAAUACAAGAAUAUUAAACUUGUAGGGUCAAGUAAGAAGUUCCGUACAUAGUUAAGUAAUGGACGCUAAAGUUAUUUAGAGCUCGUGUAGAUUAGUGGAUAUAGUACUUAUGAGUAAGUUAAGACGUCAACACUCAGCGGUGAUGAUUAUACGAAACUCGAUAAUAUUUCGGACUAUGCGAAGCUGAGCAGGACUUCUGACGAUCAUGGAUAUUUAUGAUGAGAUCUUCACAGACCAUUGUGAGUCGACGAUAAUUUAUGUUAUUGAGCAUCAUCGAUUGCUGAAAAAUAGAAGAAGAUUAGAAUCAAAUAAUGAUCCAUCAGAGCAACAUAUCUUGAACAAUCUUGGCAAUACCUUCCUCUUUUAUUGAUUAUAUUGAUUACUUUCUUCAUCAAUGAAUUGUCUUGACAUCUUUUUCCUAGAGACAUUUAAUAAAUACUACAUUUCUCUCUCUCUUGAGUUAUAAAAUGAUACUUGUGUCUAUUUUAUCAUUUCUAACUAAUCUUUUCAUUGAAACUAGCACCUUUGGAACCUAUUCAAUUUUUAACCCAAGGUGCGCAUCAAAGAUUCAUUCAUCAAAAGUCAAUCAUUCUUAAUUGAUUUUGAAUAUCUAUUAUAUCAUUCUACUCUAACUGAGAUGAACAACCCUACCUAUAGGGGACACAAGGACUACCAGUCUGUGUGAUAGGAGUUGGAUGGGACGCCAUCACUUGUGUGUGUUGUACAUUACAAGAAGGUUAACUACCUUUAGUAGUGUCUUAAUUUAGACACGCAACACCAAGUUCUUUAGAUCAUAUUGAUCUCUCGGUUAUUCUUUUGUUUCCAAUCACGUAAUAUUUGUUCCAAUAGAUCUAAUCUUUCAUAUUCUUGUAAUCUUUAAUAGUUGAAGGUAUGCCAACUGAGUUGCCAAGUAAAAUUAAGCCUUUAUAGUAGGAGGUACCAUGAGCAAAAGCGAAUGAUGAUGCGAAUAUACGACAGCAAUCAAGAGGAUAUCACCUCAUAAAGAAGUAUUAUGGAUUUAAGAGAUCGUACUCUCUAGUUUUCUUUUCGCUGAUUCCGAGGACGGAAUCCUUUUAAGGGGGGUAGAUUGUGACAACCCGGAUUUUUCAAAAUAUUUUAUUAAUGGUUUUUAUAAAAAGGAGGAAUAAAAUUUAAUAUUUUAUUCCAGUUUGGUAAAUUAAAAAAAAAAAUAUAUUUAAAAUAUAUUUGUUUAAAUAUUUUCCUAGUCAUCGGGGUUAUGGGAAAAUAUCUGUUGAUCGUGCAAUUAUCUGUUACGAGAUUUAAUUGAUCUAUUUGUAUACGAUUAUGUUUGUGCGUGCAUUUAUUCCUGCUUUUGAUAUUAUGAUACAGUUUAUUAAAAUAUAUUAUCCUCUUAAAUGGAUAUUUAUUUUUGUAAAAAUACAAAGAUAAUUUCAAAAAUUAUUUUAAUUGCUCGAUAGUGAUCACAAAUAUUUUUAGGAGUUUGUAAAAUUUUAAAAAUCUUAUUUCUAUAAGGACAUGAUUUUUAAUUAGUUUCUGAAUGCAGCUAACUUCUAAAUUUUGUAAAAAUUUUGAAAAUGCUCUGUAAAUUAUGAGUAUUUUAUUUUAUUAGUUUUAUAAUAUUUUGGGAUUUAUAACAAUAUUUCGGUAAUUUUUGGGAGAAGUUUUACUAAUAAGUUAUCUCCGUAAAUCAGUUAAAUACGGAUAGAGGGUAAAAACAUUAGUUAGCUUAUAUUAGGUGGAAGCUUCGGUUAUUGCCACCGAUCAAUACUCUUUUGUUUUUCUUCAGCCACGUAAUACACCUCCUGCAGUCACCUCCUUUUCCCCAAUUUCAAAACCUUCCCUCUGUUAAUCUCUCGACCUCACCGCCUCUUCCCCCCUCACUUCUUCCCUCUCCGCCGCUACAUCCUUACACGCCCUCUCAAUCUCUUCAUCCACAUAAUCACUUAUCCUACGUCUCUCUUCUCUCAGCAGCAGCGCCGCUCUCCUCCGUUUCUCCUUCUACUCGAAGCCGUGCUCCUUCCCCUGGGGCUCUCUCUUAAUUGAUUUCACUUCCUAAUUAGAAGUUCAUCGUGUUCCAUAUUCGUUCGAAUUUAGAAUUGAAGACAUUGACCGAGGCAUUAAUCGAGAAGUGAUUGAAAGGGGUAUUCAGAAAUAGCCAAGCAGAAUGUUACAAGUUGAAGUAGGACGGAGAUUUGUUAUAGAUAAAAGUGUGUCAGAAGCUGGCAGAAAGGAAUGAUUAUGCGGUAUAUAGUGUUACUAGGAAUCUGAGCUAAACUUUGGAGUUAAGGCAAGAAUAAAGAUGAUUCACUUAAGACUAGGCAAGGAUUGCAAGUGGUUGAGUUUCGAGCAGAUGGACAGGUAGAGUAUUUAGGACGAUGUCAUUAAGACUAGAUGCAGUUGGAGUUCUGCAAUUCAAUUCAGUUGGAAAUUAGAUUUGUUUAUUUGGUUAUCAGCUACUCUUCUUAUCGAGGUUUAGCUGAUAAUGUUGUUUAAUUUGUAAAUAAGAUUUUAUAGUUUUAGUUUCUGAUUUCAAUGCUGUAGCCUGUAUGCGAUCCUGUUUUCAGGGGGUGAAAUUGAUUUUGAAUUAAAGACCUU
Daucus carota subsp. sativus is the source of this 4845-nucleotide long non-coding RNA. RefSeq lists it as uncharacterized. The record is from RefSeq and is a predicted model, not a curated record. The transcript is spliced from 5 exons. Lineage: Eukaryota; Viridiplantae; Streptophyta; Magnoliopsida; Apiales; Apiaceae.